This is a long non-coding RNA of Esox lucius (northern pike), 4412 nucleotides long. The record is from Ensembl. NCBI's taxonomy places the organism in Eukaryota, Metazoa, Chordata, Actinopteri, Esociformes, Esocidae.
UUAUUAUUCAUCUUAAAAAAAAAAAAAGAAAAUAAAGUGCUUUUUAUGUACAAAAACAUCCACAAUAUAUGAUAAAAAAAAAAUACACAACAGGUUCAUUUGAUAAACACAUUUUCAUGCAGUUUACAGGACCACACAUGUCUAAUAGUUCAGUCGAAUAAGCUUAGUGUACAGUGCUGACACAAUAAAGAGGUUGAUAUUAGUGUUUCACUAUUGAUUAACAGAUUGAUUCUGACUUUUAUUGUAGCUGUGUACAUUCAUGAUACAGAGAGCUGCCAAAACAAAGUGAACAGUAAGUCACUGGCCAGGCUAUACACCCCCUGCUCUUAACAUGGUGCUGCCUUCAUUGAAAUCUCACAUUGGAAUACAUUACAUUAGAAUAUAUGUUAGAUUAUCCCUAACCAUGUACACAACCUACUCCCCUUUUUCAAAAUUAAAGAUAUCUAAUUCCAAAUGUUCCGUAGCUGUAAUGACUACCAAGGGGAGUUUCCACAGUACAAAUACGCGGUGUGAAGACAUGCCCAGUCAAGACAUCUUUGUUUUUAAUAUUUUUUAGGAAAAUGUAUAGUGGUCAUUUUAAGGCAGCAGAAACAUUUACAAAGCUUGCAUGAGGUGUGUAGCCUCAUUGGGCACUGUACUAUACAUCCCUCUUGUGUAAGAAAACCAAUUGUGUUGAUUUUAAGCACGUGUCUCAAAUGCAUUUUGGCAGAAGCUACAUACAAAUAUGUAUCUUUUGGCGUUUGACAUGUAAUGGCAAAUGGUCAAGUAUUAUAUUCCUGUACAUUUGUCUUUGUGAGAUCUAGUAGGACACAGCUAUACAGAGCAGCUUGUACUACAGGUCAUGUACAGUAUCAGUUGACUAAAAUGCAAAUAAUGUAAAUGGUCAUGAAGGGCCCUAGGCUUGAUAAGAGUAGGACAGCUCCCACAGUUAACAGCAGGAAACACAAAGGGCAGAUAGAUAGGAUGUAGAAUAUUGUAAUGGUUAAAGACUGACCAAUAACCCAAAGGUUGGUAGUUUGAAUCCUCAAGCUGUUAAAUGGUGUAGGACGCUGUCAUAUAGUGUAUUGACCCUCUGGGAUAGUGUAUGACGCUGCCGGAUAGUGUAUUAACGCUGUGGGAUAGUGUAUGAUGCUGCCGGAUAGUGUAUUAACGCUGUGGGAUAGUGUAUGACGCUGCCGGAUAGUGUAUUAACGCUGUCGGAUAGUGUAUGACGCUGCCGGAUAGUGUAUUAACGCUGUCGGAUAGUGUAUGACGCUGCCGGAUAGUGUAUUAACGCUGCGGGAUAGUGUAUGACGCUGCCGGAUAGUGUAUUAACGCUGUCGGAUAGUGUAUGACGCUCUGGGAUAGUGUGAGACUCUGUGGGGAAAAGUUUAUUGACGCUGUGGGAUAAAGUUUAUUGGCGCUGUGGGAUAAUGUAGGACGCCGUGGGAUGGUGUAUGACGCCGUGGGAUGGUGUAUGACGCCGUGGGAUGGUGUAUGACGCCGUGGGAUGGUGUAUGACGCCGUGGGAUGGUGUAUGACGCCGUGGCAUGGUGUAUGACGCCGUGGCAUGGUGUAUGACGCCGUGGCAUGGUGUAUGACGCCGUGGCAUGGUGUAUGACGCCGUGGGAUGGUGUAUGAUGCCUUGGGAUAAUGUAGGAUGAAAAGAUAUGCUCAAACACAGGGUUAGUGAGGGUUUGUGUAAUUAACAGGGUGAGCUAGCAUGGUAGGCUAGUGUAAUUAGUUAACAGGUUGGGCUAAUGUAAUUAGUUAGCCGGGAGGGCUAGUGUAGUUCGUUAGCUGGUUGGGUUAGAUUGGUUAGCAGGAUGGGGUAGUUUAGUAUGCAGGGUGGGGUAGUUUAGUAUGCAGGGUGGGCUAGUGUAGUUAGUUAGAAAGGUGUGCUAGUGUACUCAUCUGGUUAUCACUGGUUGAGUUAGUGAGUUAGCCCACUGUGCAUAGUGGCUGGUUCAGUUAAAAAUACCCAUGUUGGGCUACAAUCAGGCCCGGCAUCACUAACACAAUUAUUCACUGUGGUUCGUGGUGAAUAUGGCACAUAGCUGAAGGGCCAGUGUUUAAAGGCAUAACCAAACCGUGGCUUGAACUGUCUCAUGGAACAAAACAUGAAGUAAGCUUUUAAAAAAACCUGCAGUGUGGACUUUUUAGGUCCUAAAUAUUUCUACCACAAAACAUCUUUCUCCUGUUCCCACAGACAAAAAAACCCAACAUUCACCUGUUUCCAUAAACACAAAACAUCUUUCAAUUGGUCCUAUAGACACAAAACAUCUUUCAAUUGGUCCUAUAGACACAAAACAUCUUUCAGUUGGUCCUAUAGAGACACCAUGUACUGUAUUCACAGACCCCUAGGACAGUUGGCACGCAGUAUCACUUUCUGUGCAAGUACUUUGUCAAAAUGUAGCAGAGAAAAUAUAGCCUUGACGUUUGAUAAAACAAAAUAUAUUUUGUGGUUUUGGAAUAUGUGAAUUUAUCAACACAUUAAAUAACUGACGCAUUCCACAACUCCGUGUACUCAUUCUGUGCUUCAGAAAGUCUCCGGUUAUCAUGACUGGACAUCUUUGGAAAUCUGUUUGAUAAGUCUCAUUGAUGUGGUUCUAUAAGUAAUCAAUUAGUAGUCAUUGCUUCGAAACUAGUCCCUGAAUUAAUAUUAUGAAGUCAUGUUCUCUCUCAGGUCGACCCAGCCCAUAGAGAUGGAUAAGAGGACUCAGUAAUAAUAUUAAGACAUACUCUCUCUCAGGUCGACCCAACCAAUAGAGAUUAUAAGAGGACUCAGCAAUAAUAUGAAGACAUGUUCUUUCUCAAGUCAGCCCAGCCCAUAGAGAAAAGAGGUCUCAUCUGUCCUUUUGAGUCACUAUGACGUGCGCACGCUUGGGCAGUGCCAUUGAGGGAAUCUCUUCUUUGCAACUGACUGAUCCCAGUUGGACAUGCAAGAGCCUUAAGGAGGGAUCAGCCAAUAAAGCUGAAGGUCCCACCCAGUUGACUACGUUCAAAACAGUGGAAGCCCUCUAUGGUGAUGUGUAUGCCAGGAAAUGUAAUUUCUCCUUCAGGUAAGGCUAUAAUAUGGUCCAUCCAUUCUCCUGUAUCUCAGUAGUGUCAGUCUAGGAAGAGGGGUUGUGUUACAUGUUUUAGUUGUGUCUGAGGUUGUGUUACAUAAUGUAGUUGUAUCUGGGGUUGUGUCACAUAUAGUAGUUGUAUCUGGGGUUGUGUCACAUAUAGUAGUUGUAUCUGGGGUUGUGUUACAUAUUGAAAUUGUAUCAGGGGCUGUGUUACAUAUUGUAGUUUCACACAUUGCUUAUACUGCAUACAAUAUAUACACAAUACAUACCAUCAGACUUCCAUCUGCACUAUCAAUUAGCAGGAAUGCUUGAUUGUGAUCUGUACAUUUCUAAUUUGUACUUGUGUUGACCAUGUUGUUUUAUGUUCUAGCCACAUGAAUUAUCCUAUUAUUUAACUAAACAUACAUUGUUUAGGAGCAGCAACACCUGCAUCUAGUCUGGCAGAAACCAGCGCUGGCUCCUCCAAUCACCUCAGCAAGGUGCAAACAACCUGAAGAUAUACAUAGUACCCUAAUCCCUUCCCAUUGUGCUUCUCACUUCCAUAUGGUGUGGCCCAAAGUCAAUUCCGGUGGCGUGAUCCAAAUUCUAUUUGUGUGGCCUAUUCAAUAGUGUACUCCUAUGCCGCGGUCAAGAGUCUAUUCCUAUACCGCGACCAAUAGUCUACUCCUAUGCCGUGGUCAAGAGUCUAUUCCUAUGCCGCGGUCAAGAGUCUAUUCCUAUGCCGCGGUCAAGAGUCUAUUCCUAUGCCGCGGUCAAGAGUCUAUUCCUAUGCCGCGGUCAAGAGUCUAUUCCUAUGCCGCGGUCAAUAGUCUAUUCGUGUAGCGUGGUCCAUAAUCUAUUCGUGUAGCGUGGUCCAUAAUCUAUUCGUGUAGCGUGGUCCAUAAUCUAUUUGUGUAGCGUGGUCCAUAAUCUAUUUGUGUGCCGUGGUCCAUAAUCUAUUCGUGUGGCGUGGUCCAUAAUGUAUUCAUGUAGCGUGGUCCAUAAUCUAUUUGUGUGCCGUGGUCCAUAAUGUAUUCAUGUGCCGUGGUCCAUAAUCUAUUCAUGUAGCGUGGUCCAUAAUCUAUUCAUGUAGCGUGGUCCAUAAUCUAUUCGUGUAGCGUGGUCCAUAAUCUAUUCGUGUAGCGUGGUCCAUAAUCUAUUCGUGUAGCGUGGUCCAUAAUCUAUUCGUGUAGCGUGGUCCAUAAUCUAUUCGUGUGCCGUAUUUUUGUGUCCUAGUCCAUACUCUUAAUCCUGUGACUGCAUGGACAUUGUAUGGUUUUCAAGCGGUCACAGCUGGAGACAGGUGAUGUAGUGGUCACAGCUGGAGACAGGUGAUGUAGUGGUCACAGCUGGAGACAGGUGAUGUAGUGGUCACAGCUGGAG